GAUGAACGCUGGCGGCGUGCCUAAUACAUGCAAGUCGAGCGAACGGACGAGAAGCUUGCUUUUCUGAUGUUAGCGGCGGACGGGUGAGUAACACGUGGAUAACCUACCUAUAAGACUGGGAUAACUUCGGGAAACCGGAGCUAAUACCGGAUAAUAUUUUGAACCGCAUGGUUCAAAAGUGAAAGACGGUCUUGCUGUCACUUAUAGAUGGAUCCGCGCUGCAUUAGCUAGUUGGUAAGGUAACGGCUUACCAAGGCAACGAUGCAUAGCCGACCUGAGAGAGUGAUCGGCCACACGGGAACUGAGACACGGUCCAGACUCCUACGGGAGGCAGCAGUAGGGAAUCUUCCGCAAUGGGCGAAAGCCUGACGGAGCAACGCCGCGUGAGUGAUGAAGGUCUUCGGAUCGUAAAACUCUGUUAUUAGGGAAGAACAUAUGUGUAAGUAACUGUGCACAUCUUGACGGUACCUAAUCAGAAAGCCACGGCUAACUACGUG
RNAcentral lists this ribosomal RNA (497 nucleotides) under uncultured bacterium. RNAcentral's name for it is "partial 16S ribosomal RNA". It matches the Rfam family "Bacterial small subunit ribosomal RNA", at positions 28 to 507 of the family's 1533-position model. The record is from RNAcentral.